Long non-coding RNA from Sebastes umbrosus (honeycomb rockfish), 814 nucleotides. RefSeq lists it as uncharacterized. The record is from RefSeq and is a predicted model, not a curated record. NCBI's taxonomy places the organism in Eukaryota, Metazoa, Chordata, Actinopteri, Perciformes, Sebastidae. The transcript has 3 exons.
CAUCCGGCGUCUCUCUGACUGCUCGUUGUGACGGCAAGGGUUAAAAACACGAACAGAAAGCCUUUUAAAUAAACACUUCUCUGUGUUUAUUAUCUACGUAAACCAGUAGGUGAAGUUACUACGAGCACACGACUGGAAGUCACCGGCCACGCGUUAACACCUGCGCGUUGAUGAACGGAAGCCCGAGGAGCUCAGUUCAGCCAUCAUUCUCAUCUGGGAUCAUCAACAACAGCCAAGGGGACCAAGGAAGGGCCCUCCCCGCCUCCGCCUCAUUCCUCCCCUCCACCCCUCAGAUCUCCAAUCCUCCAAGGAGCUGACAGCUCGAAAGAUCCGCGAGCCUGCGUCUCCUCCACCUGCACAACCUCAUUUCCCCAUCAUAACAACAACAACAAAGGGUUUUCAGCCUGAAGUGGGUCAGCGUUUAAAUGGAUCUGCUUCCCAUUUGAGGGCCCUCAGCCGUCGCCAUGCCUAAUGACAGAGGGCACGGGAUUCCUCUCCCUUUCUAAGUCUGAGAAAUCUCACCAUGGAAGGACCAGCUACCACAGACAGGGCUGUGCAACUGCAGAUUGCGGGGUUACAGGGCUUGCCUUUACAUCCAUGCAAACUAAUGAGCAGUAUGUCUUGAUAUGCUGGAAGAGAUACCCCGUGGAGUUUUUCUUGUAAACAAGGACAGUUAUGUUUAGUCGGUGUUUCUCACCAAAGCGUAUAGUGUUGUAUCAUGAGGCCCUAACGAACCUGUUCAAUGCAUUUCUUUCCACAUUUAACAUUUGAAAAGCCAAUAACCUUGAAUAUUAAAAUGUACAUUGCCAAGUGA